This 161-nucleotide ribosomal RNA is filed under the name Arachnocrea stipata. RNAcentral's name for it is "partial large subunit ribosomal RNA". It matches the Rfam family "Eukaryotic large subunit ribosomal RNA", at positions 99 to 261 of the family's 3401-position model. The record is from RNAcentral. Lineage: Eukaryota; Fungi; Ascomycota; Sordariomycetes; Hypocreales; Hypocreaceae.
CGGCAACAGCUCAAAUUUGAAAUCUGGCCCCCCGGGGCCCGAGUUGUAAUUUGCAGAGGAUGCUUUUGGCGAAGCGCCGCCCGAGUUCCCUGGAACGGGACGCCACAGAGGGUGAGAGCCCCGUCUGGCUGGACGCCGAGCCUCUGUAAAGCUCCUUCGAC